Molecule: ribosomal RNA, 491 nt
Filed under: uncultured bacterium
Lineage: Bacteria
Description: partial 16S ribosomal RNA
Rfam family: Bacterial small subunit ribosomal RNA
Source: RNAcentral
AGUGAACGCUGGCGGUAGGCCUAACACAUGCAAGUCGAACGGCAGCACAGUAAGAGCUUGCUCUUACGGGUGGCGAGUGGCGGACGGGUGAGGAAUACAUCGGAAUCUACUUUUUCGUGGGGGAUAACGUAGGGAAACUUACGCUAAUACCGCAUACGACCUACGGGUGAAAGCAGGUGAUCUUCGGACCUUGCGCGAUUGAAUGAGCCGAUGUCGGAUUAGCUAGUUGGCGGGGUAAAGGCCCACCACGGCGACGAUCCGUAGCUGGUCUGAGAGGAUGAUCAGCCACACUGGAACUGAGAAACGGUCCAGACUCCUACGGGAGGCAGCAGGGGGGAAUAUUGGACAAUGGGCGCAAGCCUGAUCCAGCCAUACCGCGUGGGUGAAGAAGGCCUUCGGGUUGUAAAGCCCUUUUGUUGGGAAAGAAAAGCAGCAGGUUAAUACCCCGCUGUUCUGACGGUACCCAAAGAAUAAGCACCGGCUAACUUCGU